AGAUUGAACGCUGGCGGCAUGCCUUACACAUGCAAGUCGAACGGCAGCACGGGAGCAAUCCUGGUGGCGAGUGGCGAACGGGUGAGUAAUAUAUCGGAACGUGCCCAGUCGUGGGGGAUAACGCAGCGAAAGCUGUGCUAAUACCGCAUACGAUCUAUGGAUGAAAGCGGGGGAUCGCAAGACCUCGCGCGAUUGGAGCGGCCGAUAUCAGAUUAGCUAGUUGGUGGGGUAAAAGCCUACCAAGGCGACGAUCUGUAGCUGGUCUGAGAGGACGACCAGCCACACUGAACUGAGACACGGUCCAGACUCCGUA
Molecule: ribosomal RNA, 313 nt
Filed under: uncultured soil bacterium
Lineage: Bacteria
Description: bacterial SSU rRNA
Rfam family: Bacterial small subunit ribosomal RNA
Source: RNAcentral